Molecule: small RNA, 95 nt
Filed under: Salmonella enterica subsp. enterica serovar Muenchen
Lineage: Bacteria; Pseudomonadati; Pseudomonadota; Gammaproteobacteria; Enterobacterales; Enterobacteriaceae
Also listed under: 5 other names
Description: partial RtT sRNA
Rfam family: RtT RNA
About the family: This family represents a bacterial cis-regulatory element known as RtT RNA. The exact function of RtT is unknown although it is thought that it may be involved in changing the cellular response in relation to amino acid starvation.
Source: RNAcentral
AUAUCUCUCUGUACGGGAAGGAUGAGAAGCUUCGACUAAGGUUCGAUUCGAGCGCAGCGAGAAAGCGUUGCCGCAGGCAACGACCCGAAGGGCGA